CUUAGCUCAGGGGCAGAGCGCUCCCCUCGUAAGGGAGAGGCCGUCAGUUCAAUUCUGGCAGG
This 62-nucleotide transfer RNA is filed under the name Coemansia sp. RSA 678. Its description in RNAcentral is "tRNA-Thr". It matches the Rfam family "tRNA", at positions 6 to 65 of the family's 71-position model. Rfam says of the family: Transfer RNA (tRNA) molecules are approximately 80 nucleotides in length. Their secondary structure includes four short double-helical elements and three loops (D, anti-codon, and T loops). Further hydrogen bonds mediate the characteristic L-shaped molecular structure. tRNAs have two regions of fundamental functional importance: the anti-codon, which is responsible for specific mRNA codon recognition, and the 3' end, to which the tRNAs corresponding amino acid is attached (by aminoacyl-tRNA synthetases). tRNAs cope with the degeneracy of the genetic code in two manners: having more than one tRNA (with a specific anti-codon) for a particular amino acid; and 'wobble' base-pairing, i.e. permitting non-standard base-pairing at the 3rd anti-codon position. Lineage: Eukaryota; Fungi; Kickxellomycota; Kickxellomycetes; Kickxellales; Kickxellaceae. The record is from RNAcentral.